RNAcentral lists this transfer RNA (73 nucleotides) under Rubrobacter sp. Its description in RNAcentral is "tRNA-His". It matches the Rfam family "tRNA". Rfam says of the family: Transfer RNA (tRNA) molecules are approximately 80 nucleotides in length. Their secondary structure includes four short double-helical elements and three loops (D, anti-codon, and T loops). Further hydrogen bonds mediate the characteristic L-shaped molecular structure. tRNAs have two regions of fundamental functional importance: the anti-codon, which is responsible for specific mRNA codon recognition, and the 3' end, to which the tRNAs corresponding amino acid is attached (by aminoacyl-tRNA synthetases). tRNAs cope with the degeneracy of the genetic code in two manners: having more than one tRNA (with a specific anti-codon) for a particular amino acid; and 'wobble' base-pairing, i.e. permitting non-standard base-pairing at the 3rd anti-codon position. The record is from RNAcentral. Lineage: Bacteria; Bacillati; Actinomycetota; Rubrobacteria; Rubrobacterales; Rubrobacteraceae.
GUGGCCGUAGCUCAGUUGGCAGAGCAUCGGAUUGUGGCUCCGAAGGUCGCGGGUUCGAGACCCGUCGGUCACC